CGAACGGGUGAGUAACGCGUGAGGAACCUGCCUCAAAGAGGGGGACAACGGUUGGGAACGACUGCUAAUACCGCAUAAGCCCACGGUGCCGCAUGGCACAGAGGGAAAAGGAGCAAUCCGCUUUGAGAUGGCCUCGCGUCCGAUUAGCUAGUUGGUGAGGUAACGGCCCACCAAGGCGACGAUCGGUAGCCGGACUGAGAGGUUGAACGGCCACAUUGGGACUGAGACACGGCCCAG
RNAcentral lists this ribosomal RNA (237 nucleotides) under uncultured bacterium. RNAcentral describes it as "partial 16S ribosomal RNA". It matches the Rfam family "Bacterial small subunit ribosomal RNA", at positions 99 to 334 of the family's 1533-position model. The record is from RNAcentral.